GAGAACCAGAGCAGGGGAGAGAAGGCAGCUGAAACAGACAAGUGCUUCAGGCACAGGAAGAAAAUGGAGUGAGACCCGAGAGGCCUAAUUCACUGACCAGUAAGGUGUUGGCAAUAUCCUUGAAGAGACUAAAAGAACUCAGAACAACACUGAACAAGCCAGCAGAGCCAUCAACUCACCCCUACAGUCUCCAUACACAGACUCCAUGAAAGCAUUGGCCAUCAGCUCUCACUGGUGUGGAUAUGUCACCAGUGGGGUAGAGUUGUUCCUCUCUCUGACACUGUAUUAGUCCAUUCUCACACUGCUAUUAAAAAACAAACAAAC
RNAcentral lists this long non-coding RNA (324 nucleotides) under Homo sapiens (human). RNAcentral's name for it is "non-protein coding LINC00303:8". Lineage: Eukaryota; Metazoa; Chordata; Mammalia; Primates; Hominidae. The record is from RNAcentral.